AAUUCUCAACCCUCCAGCUUUUGCGAGUUGUGAUGGGCUUGGAUAUGGGGGUUUGCGGGCCUUUAUUAAGAGGUCGGCUCUCCUGAAAUACAUUAGCGGAACCGUUUGCAGUCCCGUCACUAGUGUGAUAAUUAUCUACACUGUGAUGAUUGCUCUCUGACUAGUUCAGCUGCUAAUAGUCCCUUGUUGGACAACAUUAAUGAACU
This 206-nucleotide unclassified non-coding RNA is filed under the name uncultured Bovista. Its description in RNAcentral is "partial internal transcribed spacer 2". Lineage: Eukaryota; Fungi; Basidiomycota; Agaricomycetes; Agaricales; Lycoperdaceae. The record is from RNAcentral.